Long non-coding RNA from Salvia miltiorrhiza (redroot sage), 761 nucleotides. RefSeq lists it as uncharacterized. The record is from RefSeq and is a predicted model, not a curated record. NCBI's taxonomy places the organism in Eukaryota, Viridiplantae, Streptophyta, Magnoliopsida, Lamiales, Lamiaceae. The transcript is spliced from 2 exons.
UCAAUCCAACCCGAAACCCGUGGGCUGACCCGAAUAACCCGACAAAAUUAGAGGGUUAGGGCUGAAAAAUCACAACCCGAUAACAAAUCGGGCUAAUCGGGCUAGCCCGUUCGGGCUGGCGGGUUGAAGCGGGCCAGCCCGUCGGGUUGUCGGGCCAACCCGUCGGGUUACUCGAUUUAAAAAAAAAUUAAAAAUACUAAAAUUUUAGGGUUUGAAAUUGAAUUGCUUCAGACCUCAGUUCAGCCGCGCCUCCACUCUUCCAUUCUUCUACCUCCGACCCCGCACCAGUCACCACCUCCAGCCACGCCGCCGCGCCGCGCCUCCCCUCUCCGGCGCAUCCAACCCAAUUUGUCUCCCACCAGGCAACCACCGAACCACGCCGCUUCCCACCUGAGCCCAGCGGGCCAGCGCCAUCGCGCCUCGACUCCUCUCCAUCUCCCACCGCCGCGCCUCUUCCCACCUGAACUGAGCAGCUAUCGCUGUCGUCUGCUGCUUCUAGUCCGCCGCAAUUGCCGCUCACUCCAUCUACUCCGAUGGUGAAGAUGAUGAGCAAGAAGACAUGGAUCAAGUUGAAGCACCAAAUAUUAUCAAUGUUGAAGAAGAGUGUUACUCAAAUGUUUAGACUUUAUAUUAAUUUUUGAGAUGCUUUGUUUCCUUAAUUUCAAAUUAUUGUUGAAUAUUUUGUUUUUAUUUUUUUAACAAGUUGAACAUUUAUUGUUAUUAACUUGUUUUAUAUAUUAUGCGAUCUUGAAUAUUUUAUA